Molecule: ribosomal RNA, 17 nt
Filed under: Spyridium burragorang
Lineage: Eukaryota; Viridiplantae; Streptophyta; Magnoliopsida; Rosales; Rhamnaceae
Description: partial 18S ribosomal RNA
Source: RNAcentral
ACCUCGGGAGAUCAUUG